UAGUUCGAUUAUGGCUCAGGAUGAACGCUAGCGACAGGCUUAACACAUGCAAGUCGAGGGGCAGCACAGGUAGCAAUACCGGGUGGCGACCGGCGCACGGGUGAGUAACGCGUAUGCAACUUGCCUAUCAGAGGGGGAUAACCCGGCGAAAGUCGGACUAAUACCGCAUGAAGCAGGGGCCCCGCAUGGGGAUAUUUGCUAAAGAUUCAUCGCUGAUAGAUAGGCAUGCGUUCCAUUAGGCAGUUGGCGGGGUAACGGCCCACCAAACCGACGAUGGAUAGGGGUUCUGAGAGGAAGGUCCCCCACAUUGGUACUGAGACACGGACCAAACUCCUACGGGAGGCAGCAGUGAGGAAUAUUGGUCAAUGGGCGUAAGCCUGAACCAGCCAAGUCGCGUGAGGGAUGAAGGUUCUAUGGAUCGUAAACCUCUUUUAUAAGGGAAUAAAGUGCGGGACGUGUCCCGUUUUGUAUGUACCUUAUGAAUAAGGAUCGGCUAACUCCGUGCCAGCAGCCGCGGUAAUACGGAGGAUCCGAGCGUUAUCCGGAUUUAUUGGGUUUAAAGGGUGCGUAGGCGGCCUUUUAAGUCAGCGGUGAAAGUCUGUGGCUCAACCAUAGAAUUGCCGUUGAAACUGGGGGGCUUGAGUAUGUUUGAGGCAGGCGGAAUGCGUGGUGUAGCGGUGAAAUGCUUAGAUAUCACGCAGAACCCCGAUUGCGAAGGCAGCCUGCCAAGCCAUGACUGACGCUGAUGCACGAAAGCGUGGGGAUCAAACAGGAUUAGAUACCCUGGUAGUCCACGCAGUAAACGAUGAUCACUAGCUGUUUGCGAUACACAGUAAGCGGCACAGCGAAAGCGUUAAGUGAUCCACCUGGGGAGUACGCCGACAACGGUGAAACUCAAAGGAAUUGACGGGGGCCCGCACAAGCGGAGGAACAUGUGGUUUAAUUCGAUGAUACGCGAGGAACCUUACCCGGGUUUGAACGCAUUCGGACCGAGGUGGAAACACCUUUUCUAGCAAUAGCCGUUUGCGAGGUGCUGCAUGGUUGUCGUCAGCUCGUGCCGUGAGGUGUCGGCUUAAGUGCCAUAACGAGCGCAACCCUUGCCACUAGUUACUAACAGGUAAAGCUGAGGACUCUGGUGGGACUGCCAGCGUAAGCUGCGAGGAAGGCGGGGAUGACGUCAAAUCAGCACGGCCCUUACAUCCGGGGCGACACACGUGUUACAAUGGCGUGGACAAAGGGAUGCCACCUGGCGACAGGGAGCGAAUCCCCAAACCACGUCUCAGUUCGGAUCGGAGUCUGCAACCCGACUCCGUGAAGCUGGAUUCGCUAGUAAUCGCGCAUCAGCCAUGGCGCGGUGAAUACGUUCCCGGGCCUUGUACACACCGCCCGUCAAGCCAUGGGAGCCGGGGGUACCUGAAGUCCGUAACCGCGAGGAUCGGCCUAGGGUAAAACUGGUGACUGGGGCUAAGUCGUAACAAGGUACCC
Molecule: ribosomal RNA, 1485 nt
Filed under: uncultured bacterium
Lineage: Bacteria
Description: bacterial SSU rRNA
Rfam family: Bacterial small subunit ribosomal RNA
Source: RNAcentral